CCUACGGGCGGCUGCAGUGGGGAAUAUUGGACAAUGGGGGCAACCCUGAUCCAGCCAUGCCGCGUGUGUGAAGAAGGCCCUCGGGGUGUAAAGCACUUUCAGUGAGGAAGAACGCCUGGUGGUUAAUACCCAUCAGGAAAGACAUCACUCACAGAAGAAGCACCGGCUAACUCCGUGCCAGCAGCCGCGGUAAUACGGAGGGUGCGAGCGUUAAUCGGAAUUACUGGGCGUAAAGCGCGCGUAGGUGGCUUGAUAAGCCGGUUGUGAAAGCCCCGGGCUCAACCUGGGAACGGCAUCCGGAACUGUCAAGCUAGAGUGCAGGAGAGGAAGGUAGAAUUCCCGGUGUAGCGGUGAAAUGCGUAGAGAUCGGGAGGAAUACCAGUGGCGAAGGCGGCCUUCUGGACUGACACUGACACUGAGGUGCGAAAGCGUGGGUAGCAAACAGGAUUAGAUACCCCAGUAGUC
Molecule: ribosomal RNA, 465 nt
Filed under: Vreelandella stevensii
Lineage: Bacteria; Pseudomonadati; Pseudomonadota; Gammaproteobacteria; Oceanospirillales; Halomonadaceae
Description: partial 16S ribosomal RNA
Rfam family: Bacterial small subunit ribosomal RNA
Source: RNAcentral